This 1017-nucleotide ribosomal RNA is filed under the name Glandirana rugosa (Japanese wrinkled frog). Its description in RNAcentral is "Rugosa rugosa (Japanese wrinkled frog) partial 16S ribosomal RNA". It matches the Rfam family "Bacterial large subunit ribosomal RNA", at positions 776 to 2489 of the family's 2925-position model. The record is from RNAcentral. Lineage: Eukaryota; Metazoa; Chordata; Amphibia; Anura; Ranidae.
CAACCCGUCUCUGUUGCAAAAGAGUGGGAAGAUUUCCAAGUAGAGGCGACAAGCCUAUCGAACUUAGAGAUAGCUGGUUGUUCAGGAAAAGAGUCCAAGCUCUACCUUAAGUUUUUUGAUUUAUCUAAACAAACCCCUAGACUUAAGAGCUAUUCAAGUAAGGCACAGCUUACUUGAAACAGGAUACAACCUCCUACAUUGGGUAAACAAGAACAAUUUAAACAAAGUGGGCCUAAAAGCAGCCAUCUUACAAAAAGCGUUAAAGCUUAACUUACACACACUCAUAAUUCCGAUAGUUCUUAUUAACCCCUCAUUGUUACUGAACUAUUUUAUAAUCUUAUAAAAAUUAUUAUGCUAGAACUAGUAACAUGAAAUUACCUUUCUCCUUAAUGUAAGCUUCAACCAUAAUGGAUUAUCCACUGGUAUUUAACGUAACUGUCUUCAUUAUAGCAACAUACUACUAGAAAACCCUAUAACCACUAACGUUAACCUCACACUAGAGCAUUACAGGAAAGAUUAAAAGAAAGAGAAGGAACUCGGCAAACCCCCAGCCCCGCCUGUUUACCAAAAACAUCGCCUCUUGAUUAACAUAAGAGGUCCAGCCUGCCCAGUGACAUAGUUUAACGGCCGCGGUACCCUAACCGUGCGAAGGUAGCAUAAUCACUUGUUCUCUAAAUAGGGACUAGUAUCAAUGGCAUCACGAGGGCUACACUGUCUCCUCUCUCCAAUCAGUGAAACUGAUCUCCCCGUGAAGAAGCGGGGAUUUAAAUAUAAGACGAGAAGACCCCAUGGAGCUUUAAACUUAAUAUACACCUCUAUUUACCUACACCAACUAACCCUAAAGUCUGUGUAUUAGUUUUAGGUUGGGGGGACCGCGGAGUAUAACUCAACCUCCACGACAAACGGGCCAACGCCCUUAUCCAUGAAACACAAUUCUAAGAAUCAAUAACCUGAUGUUUUAUGACCCGACAAGUCGAUCAACGAACCAAGUUACCCUGGGGAUAACAGCGCAAUCUA